This 465-nucleotide ribosomal RNA is filed under the name uncultured bacterium. RNAcentral describes it as "bacterial SSU rRNA". It matches the Rfam family "Bacterial small subunit ribosomal RNA", at positions 338 to 795 of the family's 1533-position model. The record is from RNAcentral.
CCUACGGGUUGCACCAGUGGGGAAUAUUGCACAAUGGGCGCAAGCCUGAUGCAGCCAUGCCGCGUGUAUGAAGAAGGCCUUCGGGUUGUAUAGUACUUUCAGCGAGGAGGAAGGCGAUAAGGUUAAUAACCUUGUCGAUUGACGUUACCCGCAGAAGAAGCACCGGCUAACUCCGUGCCAGCAGCCGCGGUAAUACGGAGGGUGCAAGCGUUAAUCGGAAUUACUGGGCGUAAAGCGCACGCAGGCGGUCUGUCAAGUCGGAUGUGAAAUCCCCGGGCUCAACCUGGGAACUGCAUUCGAAACUGGCAGGCUAGAGUCUUGUAGAGGGGGGUAGAAUUCCAGGUGUAGCGGUGAAAUGCGUAGAGAUCUGGAGGAAUACCGGUGGCGAAGGCGGCCCCCUGGACAAAGGCUGACGCUCAGGUGCGAAAGCGUGGGGAGCAAACAGGAUUAGAUACCCUCGUAGUC